AUUGAACGCUGGCGGCAUGCCUUACACAUGCAAGUCGAACGGUAACAGGUCUUCGGAUGCUGACGAGUGGCGAACGGGCGAGUAAUACAUCGGAACGUGCCCGAUCGUGGGGGAUAACGAGGCGAAAGCUUUGCUAAUACCGCAUACGAUCUACGGAUGAAAGCGGGGGAUCUUCGGACCUCGCGCGGACGGAGCGGCCGAUGGCAGAUUAGGUAGUUGGUGGGAUAAAAGCUUACCAAGCCGACGAUCUGUAGCUGGUCUGAGAGGAUGAUCAGCCACACUGGGACUGAGACACGGCCCAGACUCCUACGGGAGGCAGCAGUGGGGAAUUUUGGACAAUGGGCGAAAGCCUGAUCCAGCCAUGCCGCGUGCAGGAUGAAGGCCUUCGGGUUGUAAACUGCUUUUGUACGGAACGAAAAGCCUCUUUCUAAUAAAGAGGGGUCAUGACGGUACCGUAAGAAUAAGCACCGGCUAACUACGUG
Molecule: ribosomal RNA, 482 nt
Filed under: uncultured bacterium
Lineage: Bacteria
Description: partial 16S ribosomal RNA
Rfam family: Bacterial small subunit ribosomal RNA
Source: RNAcentral